CAAGGACCUGAACAGAGGAAUCAACCCCCAAAUUUGCUACCCAAUGAUCUGCCAUUUGCAUCAAUAAAUCAAUCUUUUGCAUUCUCCCACCACCCACCAAAGAAUUUGAACAAAGAAUCUUCAAUUUCAAUAAAAGCUCCCCUAAAGCAUCAAUUAUAUGAACUUGAAAAUGCUGAAAAUUCAGGAAGAGCAAGUUUCAUAUCUAUCUUGGAU
RNAcentral lists this unclassified non-coding RNA (213 nucleotides) under Hevea brasiliensis (rubber tree). The record is from RNAcentral. Lineage: Eukaryota; Viridiplantae; Streptophyta; Magnoliopsida; Malpighiales; Euphorbiaceae.